Molecule: non-coding RNA, 77 nt
Organism: Pisolithus orientalis
Lineage: Eukaryota; Fungi; Basidiomycota; Agaricomycetes; Boletales; Pisolithaceae
Source: the annotation of a RefSeq genome assembly
AAAUAGCUCAGUGGUUAGAGCACCCGGUCGAAACCUGGGAGGUCCAGGGUUCAAUCUGAUAAAAUCACCCAGUCUUA